UACGGAGGGUGCGAGCGUUAAUCGGAAUUACUGGGCGUAAAGGGUGCGUAGGUGGUUUAAUAAGUUAUCUGUGAAAGUCCUGGGCUUAACCUGGGGGUGCAGCUAAGACUGUUGAGCUAGAGUAUAGGAGAGGGUAGUGGAAUUUCCGGUGUAGCGGUGAAAUGCGUAGAGAUCGGAAGGAACACCAGUGGCGAAGGCGGCUACCUGGCCUAAUACUGACACUGAGGCACGAAAGCGUGGGGAGCAAACAGG
RNAcentral lists this unclassified non-coding RNA (252 nucleotides) under uncultured Legionellaceae bacterium. RNAcentral's name for it is "contains 16S-23S intergenic spacer region". It matches the Rfam family "Bacterial small subunit ribosomal RNA", at positions 524 to 776 of the family's 1533-position model. Lineage: Bacteria; Pseudomonadati; Pseudomonadota; Gammaproteobacteria; Legionellales; Legionellaceae. The record is from RNAcentral.